This 110-nucleotide small nuclear RNA is filed under the name Propithecus coquereli (Coquerel's sifaka). The record is from RNAcentral. Lineage: Eukaryota; Metazoa; Chordata; Mammalia; Primates; Indriidae.
GUGCUCGCCUCAGCAGCACAUAUACUAAAGAUCGUGAAUGAUACAAUAGAAGUAUUACACUGCCCCUAUGCAACGAUAACACGCAAAUUCGUAAAGUGGUCCAAAUCUUU